Molecule: ribosomal RNA, 361 nt
Filed under: uncultured bacterium
Lineage: Bacteria
Description: bacterial SSU rRNA
Rfam family: Bacterial small subunit ribosomal RNA
Source: RNAcentral
AACGAACGCUGGCGGCAUGCCUAACACAUGCAAGUCGAACGAGACCUUCGGGUCUAGUGGCGCACGGGUGCGUAACGCGUGGGAAUCUGCCCUUGGGUUCGGAAUAACUUCGGGAAACUGAAGCUAAUACCGGAUGAUGACGUAAGUCCAAAGAUUUAUCGCCCAAGGAUGAGCCCGCGUAGGAUUAGCUAGUUGGUGAGGUAAAGGCUCACCAAGGCGACGAUCCUUAGCUGGUCUGAGAGGAUGAUCAGCCACACUGGGACUGAGACACGGCCCAGACUCCUACGGGAGGCAGCAGUGGGGAAUAUUGGGACAAAUGGGCGAAAGACCUGAUCCAGCAAUGCCGCGUGAGUGAUGAAGG